AAGGGGCAGUAAUGUAUGGGUACCUACCCCGGGGUUGAGGAUAGCCGUUCUAACGGACGGGUAAUACUCGACGAAGUCGCAAGACCAAAGCUCCGGCGCCCCGGGAGGGGCCCAUAUCAGAUUAGCUAGUUGGGGGGGUAACGGCCCACCAAGGCGAGGAUCUGUAGCGGGUGUGAGAGCACGACCCGCGCCACUGGCACUGAGACACUGGCCAGACACCUACGGGUGGCUGCAGUCGAGGAUCUUCGUCAAUGGGCGAAAGCCUGAACGAGCGAUGCCGCGUGUGCGAUGAAGGCCUUCGGGUUGUAAAGCACAAAAGAGAUGAGAAAGGGCAACUUGAUCGAAUCUCAGUAAGCUCGGGCUAAGUUCGUGCCAGCAGCCGCGGUAAGACGAACCGAGCGAACGUUGUUCGGAAUCACCGGGCUUAAAGGGCGCGUAGGCGGGUGGCUAAGUCUGUGGUGAAAUCCUCCAGCUCAACUGGAGAACUGCCAUGGAUACUGGUCGUCUCGAGGAAGGUAGGGGUACGUGGAACUAUUGGUGGAGCGGUGAAAUGCGUUGA
Molecule: ribosomal RNA, 559 nt
Filed under: uncultured bacterium
Lineage: Bacteria
Description: bacterial SSU rRNA
Rfam family: Bacterial small subunit ribosomal RNA
Source: RNAcentral